UCUCUUUCUCUCCGUCUUUCUCGAUCAAAGCCGCGGACACCGUUCAAUUUCCCAUCCUGAUUGCCCGCCGACGAGGUCACCGGAGGCCAAGGUGAGUCUCCUUCUUCUUCCCCUCUUUCUCCUCCUUCCUCCCAUACCUUUGCUUGAGGCGGCCGGCGACGAGUGUCGCCGAUUUUCGGUCGGGGAAAAAGACUCUAUUUUUUGGGCCUCUUUUUCGUG
This 219-nucleotide long non-coding RNA is filed under the name Elaeis guineensis (African oil palm). Its description in RNAcentral is "long non-coding RNA (EGUI_LNC017917)". Lineage: Eukaryota; Viridiplantae; Streptophyta; Magnoliopsida; Arecales; Arecaceae. The record is from RNAcentral.